UCCCAUAUUGUCUAGUGGUUAGGAUACCUGGCUCUCACCCAGGAGAACCGGGUUCAAUUCCCGGUAUGGGAA
Molecule: transfer RNA, 72 nt
Filed under: Daphnia magna
Lineage: Eukaryota; Metazoa; Arthropoda; Branchiopoda; Diplostraca; Daphniidae
Description: tRNA-Glu
Rfam family: tRNA
About the family: Transfer RNA (tRNA) molecules are approximately 80 nucleotides in length. Their secondary structure includes four short double-helical elements and three loops (D, anti-codon, and T loops).
Source: RNAcentral